GAGAAAAGAAAAGAAAACAGAGACAGAACGAGGGAGGGAAGGAGGGAGGGAGCUGUGGCAUUAAUGGGCUCCUCUUCUCCUCUUCCUCUCAUUAUUUUCUUUCUCGCGCUAUUGUUCGUGAUUCUCCUUGGUGCCUCUCAUGCCUCCACUCUCAAAGGUGUUGAUCCUGGAAAUCCAAUCAUAGAUGUCAUUCCAUCCUUCCUCAAUGGACGUUUGCCUAGCCGAAGUUUUAAAGAUGUUUUAUAUUGUGAGCGAGCU
Molecule: unclassified non-coding RNA, 258 nt
Filed under: Hevea brasiliensis (rubber tree)
Lineage: Eukaryota; Viridiplantae; Streptophyta; Magnoliopsida; Malpighiales; Euphorbiaceae
Source: RNAcentral